Molecule: ribosomal RNA, 492 nt
Filed under: uncultured bacterium
Lineage: Bacteria
Description: partial 16S ribosomal RNA
Rfam family: Bacterial small subunit ribosomal RNA
Source: RNAcentral
AGUGAACGCUGGCGGUAGGCCUAACACAUGCAAGUCGAACGGCAGCACAGUAAGAGCUUGCUCUUACGGGUGGCGAGUGGCGGACGGGUGAGGAAUACAUCGGAAUCUACUUUUUCGUGGGGGAUAACGUAGGGAAACUUACGCUCAUACCGCAUACGACCUACGGGUGAAAGCAGGGGAUCUUCGGACCUUGCGCGAUUGAAUGAGCCGCUGUCGGAUUAGCUAGUUGGCGGGGUAAAGGCCCACCAAGGCGACGAUCCGUAGCUGGUCUGGGAGGAUGAUCAGCCACACUGGAACUGAGACACGGUCCAGACUCCUACGGGAGGCAGCAGUGGGGAAUAUUGGACAAUGGGCGCAAGCCUGGUCCAGCCAUACCGCGUGGGUGAAGAAGGCCUUCGGGUUGUAAAGCCCUUUUGUUGGGAAAGAAAAGCAGCAGGUUAAUACCCCGCUGUUCUGACGGUACCCAAAGAAUAAGCACCGGCUAACUUCGUG